GGUCUGGUGGUCUAGUGGUAUGAUUCGCGCUUAGGGAUCACCCUUAGCUUGGUUGCGCGAGGUCCCGGGUUCAAUCCCCGGCCAGACCC
RNAcentral lists this transfer RNA (89 nucleotides) under Pseudomassariella vexata. RNAcentral's name for it is "tRNA-Pro". It matches the Rfam family "tRNA". From Rfam's summary of the family: Transfer RNA (tRNA) molecules are approximately 80 nucleotides in length. Their secondary structure includes four short double-helical elements and three loops (D, anti-codon, and T loops). The record is from RNAcentral. Lineage: Eukaryota; Fungi; Ascomycota; Sordariomycetes; Amphisphaeriales; Pseudomassariaceae.